UGGUCUUUGGUGUCCGUGGUACCAUUCC
Molecule: non-coding RNA, 28 nt
Filed under: Mus musculus (house mouse)
Lineage: Eukaryota; Metazoa; Chordata; Mammalia; Rodentia; Muridae
Source: RNAcentral